Molecule: ribosomal RNA, 505 nt
Filed under: uncultured bacterium
Lineage: Bacteria
Description: partial 16S ribosomal RNA
Rfam family: Bacterial small subunit ribosomal RNA
Source: RNAcentral
GACGAACGCUGGCGGCGUGCCUAAUACAUGCAAGUAGAACGCACAGUUUAUACCGUAGCUUGCUACACCAUAGACUGUGAGUUGCGAACGGGUGAGUAACGCGUAGGUAACCUGCCUGGUAGCGGGGGAUAACUAUUGGAACCGAUAGCUAAUACCGCAUAAUAUUGAUUAUUGCAUGAUAAUUGAUUGAAAGAUGCUAUUGCAUCACUACCAGAUGGACCUGCGUUGUAUUAGCUAGUAGGUGAGGUAACGGCUCACCUAGGCGACGAUACAUAGCCGACCUGAGAGGGUGAUCGGCCACACUGGGACUGAGACACGGCCCAGACUCCUACGGGAGGCAGCAGUAGGGAAUCUUCGGCAAUGGACGAAAGUCUGACCGAGCAACGCCGCGUGAGUGAAGAAGGUUUUCGGAUCGUAAAGCUCUGUUGUAAGAGAAGAACGGGUGUGAGAGUGGAAAGUUCACACUGUGACGGUAUCUUACCAGAAAGGGACGGCUAACUACGUG